This 872-nucleotide long non-coding RNA is filed under the name Ovis aries (sheep). Its description in RNAcentral is "lncRNA (ENSOARG00000026169.1)". The record is from RNAcentral. Lineage: Eukaryota; Metazoa; Chordata; Mammalia; Artiodactyla; Bovidae.
UUAUUCUGUCACAAAGUUUCAUUUUGCCCUAUAUGUUUUCAGAGUAGGUCUAAAUUUUUCCCUAUGUAAGUCCUUCAAGUAUUGAAAUGUGAUUAUCUUUAUCUCUUUUUUAUUUCUCUAUUUCUUUUGUCAUUUUUUACUAUAGGACUAUUUUUUCACCCUUUCAAUUCCAUGUAGUCUCCAAGAGUACAUCUUGAUCUCUUAAUUAUUUUCAUAUGUGUUAAUUAGAAUCUAACCACAUCCAGAUAACCAUGAUGGUGUGAUCAAUCACGUAGAGCCAGACAUCCUGGAAUUCAAAGUCAAGUGGGCCUACAGUUCAGUUCAGUAGCUCAGUCAUGUCCGACUGUUGGAAACCCCAUGAAUUGCAGCAUGCCAGGCCUCCCUGUCCAUCACCAACUCCCGAAAGUUCACUCAAGCUCAUGUGCAUCAAGUUGGUGAUGCCAUCCAGCCAACUCAUCCUCUGUCAUCCCCUUCUCCUCCUGCCCCCAAUCCCUCCCAGCCACAGAGUCUUUUCCAGUGAGUCAACUCUUUGCAUGAGGUGGCCAAAGUACUGGAGUUUCAGCUUUAGCAUCAUUCCUUCCAAAGAACACCCAGGACUGAUCUCCUUUAGAAUGGACUGGUUGGAUCUCCUUGCAGUCCAAGGGACUCUCAAGAGUCUUCUCCAACACCACAGUUCAAAAGCAUCAAUUCUUCGGUGCUCAGCUUUCUUCACAGUCCAACUCUCACAUCCAUACAUGACCACUGGAAAAACCAUAGCCUUGACUAGAUGGACCUUUGUUGGCAAAGUAAUGUCUCUGCUUUUGAAUAUGCUAUCUAGGUUGGUCAUAACUUUUCUUCCAAGGAGUAAGCGUCUUUUAAUUUCAUGGCUGUAG